RNAcentral lists this ribosomal RNA (657 nucleotides) under uncultured bacterium. RNAcentral's name for it is "bacterial SSU rRNA". It matches the Rfam family "Bacterial small subunit ribosomal RNA", at positions 142 to 794 of the family's 1533-position model. The record is from RNAcentral.
GAUAACUUAGCGAAAGUUACGCUAAUACCGCAUACGAUCUAUGGAUGAAAGCGGGGGAUCGCAAGACCUCGCGCGAUUGGAGCGGCCNNNNNNAGAUUAGGUAGUUGGUGAGGUAAAGGCUCACCAAGCCGACGAUCUGUAGCUGGUCUGAGAGGACGACCAGCCACACUGGGACUGAGACACGGCCCAGACUCCUACGGGAGGCAGCAGUGGGGAAUUUUGGACAAUGGGCGAAAGCCUGAUCCAGCAAUGCCGCGUGCAGGAUGAAGGCCUUCGGGUUGUAAACUGCUUUUGUACGGAACGAAACGGCGAGCUCUAAUACAGUUUGCUAAUGACGGUACCGUAAGAAUAAGCACCGGCUAACUACGUGCCAGCAGCCGCGGUAAUACGUAGGGUGCAAGCGUUAAUCGGAAUUACUGGGCGUAAAGCGUGCGCAGGCGGUUCUAUAAGACAGGCGUGAAAUCCCCGGGCUCAACCUGGGAAUUGCGUUUGUGACUGUAGGGCUAGAGUACGGCAGAGGGGGAUGGAAUUCCGCGUGUAGCAGUGAAAUGCGUAGAUAUGCGGAGGAACACCGAUGGCGAAGGCAAUCCCCUGGGCCUGUNCUGACGCUCAUGCACGAAAGCGNGGGGAGCAAACAGGAUUAGAUACCCUGGUAGU